GACGAACGCUGGCGGCGUGCUUAACACAUGCAAGUCGAACGGGCCCGCCCCUGUUUUUGGGGGUGGGUUGAGUGGCGAACGGGUGAGUAUCACGUGAGUAACCUGCCCCCUGCUCCUGGAUAACUGCUUGAAAGGGCGGCUAAUACGGGGUGUGCCGGCUGGUCCGCAUGGGCCUGGUCGGGAUAGUUUCAUCUUCGGGUGUUUCGGUGGGGGAUGGGCUCGCGGCCUAUCAGCUUGUUGGUGGGGUGAUGGCCCACCAAGGCGGUGACGGGUAGCCGGCCUGAGAGGGUGGGCGGCCACACUGGGAGUGAGACACGGCCCAGACUCCUGCGGGAGGCAGCAGUGGGGGGUAUUGCACAAUGGGCGGAAGCCUGAUGCAGCGACGUCGCGUGAGGGAUGGAGGCCUUCGGGUUGUGAAACUCUUUCUCCGGUGGUGAAGGCCCUGUCCGGUGCGGCGGGGUUGACGGUAGCCGGGUAUGAGGCGCCGGCUAACUACGUG
Molecule: ribosomal RNA, 499 nt
Filed under: uncultured bacterium
Lineage: Bacteria
Description: partial 16S ribosomal RNA
Rfam family: Bacterial small subunit ribosomal RNA
Source: RNAcentral